RNAcentral lists this transfer RNA (76 nucleotides) under Spirochaetota bacterium. RNAcentral describes it as "Spirochaetes bacterium tRNA-Phe". It matches the Rfam family "tRNA". From Rfam's summary of the family: Transfer RNA (tRNA) molecules are approximately 80 nucleotides in length. Their secondary structure includes four short double-helical elements and three loops (D, anti-codon, and T loops). Lineage: Bacteria; Pseudomonadati; Spirochaetota. The record is from RNAcentral.
GCCGAGAUAGCUCAGUCGGUAGAGCAGCGGACUGAAAAUCCGCGUGUCGACGGUUCGAUUCCGUCCCUCGGCACCA